UUGAACUCAAAAGCACAGCUUUAUUGCUGGAAACAGAUCACAAACAAUACAAAACUAAACUGGGAAAACUAAUCAUAAAGCAUACCAGGAGACACGGGGAGAAUCACACACAGCAGGAGGGAGAACGCGACACAGAACUGAGGGAGACACAGACAUAAAUACACAGAGGGUUAACGAGGGAAGUGGGAGCACACGGGGAACACAGGUGACACUGAUAAUCAUAACAAGACACGGCAGGAGUGAACGCAACACUGACGGGAGACUGACAAAGUAAAACAGGAAGUACAGAGGUUCAGACAGGAGGAGCGAGUGCACGACACAGCGGGCUGGGGAAAGCAUGAACUAAAACACAAGGAGGGGAAACGAGGGUUCACAGAUACGGAAGGGCACACAGAAGUGCAGCAGUUGAACCAGAGUGUGCAGCAGUAGGUCAGAAGGCUCUCGAUGGUGGAGCGGUAGAAGUUUACUAGCAGUCUCUGGGAUAAUUGUGCCUGAUGCAGCUUCCUGAGAAAGUACAGCCUUUGUUGUGCUUUCCCUACCUGGUGGGAAAUGUUCGUGGACCAGGGUCGGAGACCUUCACCUUGUUUGGAUGACAGCCUGCUCCGAUAUUCAUCUGUGGGCACAAACACCAAAACUCAAGAGACUUUUCAGUGAGAAGAAAAGACAAACCCUGCAUGCCAGAGUGAAAGUGAGAGUGUGUGUGAGUGCAUACUCACCCUGAAUGGACUCUCAGUCUCCCCAGGAGACCAUCACAGUCUGCUUCACAGGCUUACGUGGGGUGUAGGUGCAGGUGUAUGUGCUGUUGCCAUUAUCCUUAACCUGGACAUCCACAGAAUUGACUUCACCAUCCUGUGCAGAAGACAAGGGAUUAGUUCUAUCAGAUUUAACACACCGUAGUUUUCGGACCAUAAGGCGCACUGUUGAUGAACAGGUCUGGUUUCAUACAUGAGGCGCACUGGAUUAUAAAACGCAUUAAGCGAAACAAAACAGUCAGAUAAGUCAAACUUUACUCGACUCUUUCUUCUAGCUUCC
Molecule: long non-coding RNA, 1032 nt
Organism: Oreochromis aureus
Lineage: Eukaryota; Metazoa; Chordata; Actinopteri; Cichliformes; Cichlidae
Source: Ensembl